AGAACUUACCAGGUCUUGACUCCUCUGAAAACCCUAGAGAUAGGGCUUCUCCUUCGGGAGCAGAGUGACAGGUGGUGCAUGGUUGUCGUCAGCUCGUGUCGUGAGAUGUUGGGUUAAGUCCCGCAACGAGCGCAACCCUUGAUCUUAGUUGCCAUCAUUAAGUUGGGCACUCUAAGGUGACUGCCGGUGACAAACCGGAGGAAGGUGGGGAUGACGUCAAAUCAUCAUGCCCCUUAUGACCUGGGCUACACACGUGCUACAAUGGACGGUACAAAGAGCUGCAAGACCGCGAGGUGGAGCUAAUCUCAUAAAACCGUUCUCAGUUCGGAUUGUAGGCUGCAACUCGCCUACAUGAAGCUGGAAUCGCUAGUAAUCGCGGAUCAGCAUGCCGCGGUGAAUACGUUCUCCCGGGC
Molecule: ribosomal RNA, 413 nt
Filed under: bacterium V10(2015)
Lineage: Bacteria
Description: bacterial SSU rRNA
Rfam family: Bacterial small subunit ribosomal RNA
Source: RNAcentral